AUUGAACGCUGGCGGCAGGCCUAACACAUGCAAGUCGAACGGUAACAGGAAGAAGCUUGCUUCUUUGCUGACGAGUGGCGGACGGGUGAGUAAUGUCUGGGAAACUGCCUGAUGGAGGGGGAUAACUACUGGAAACGGUAGCUAAUACCGCAUAACGUCGCAAGACCAAAGAGGGGGACCUUCGGGCCUCUUGCCAUCGGAUGUGCCCAGAUGGGAUUAGCUAGUAGGUGGGGUAACGGCUCACCUAGGCGACGAUCCCUAGCUGGUCUGAGAGGAUGACCAGCCACACUGGAACUGAGACACGGUCCAGACUCCUACGGGAGGCAGCAGUGGGGAAUAUUGCACAGUGGGCGCAAGCCUGAUGCAGCCAUGCCGCGUGUAUGAAGAAGGCCUUCGGGUUGUAAAGUACUUUCAGCGGGGAGGAAGGGAGUAAAGUUAAUACCCUUGCUCAUUGACGUUACCCGCAGAAGAAGCACCGGCUAACUCCGU
RNAcentral lists this ribosomal RNA (489 nucleotides) under uncultured bacterium. RNAcentral describes it as "partial 16S ribosomal RNA". It matches the Rfam family "Bacterial small subunit ribosomal RNA", at positions 30 to 506 of the family's 1533-position model. The record is from RNAcentral.